This 82-nucleotide transfer RNA is filed under the name Microcaldota archaeon. RNAcentral describes it as "Candidatus Micrarchaeota archaeon tRNA-Ser". It matches the Rfam family "tRNA". Rfam says of the family: Transfer RNA (tRNA) molecules are approximately 80 nucleotides in length. Their secondary structure includes four short double-helical elements and three loops (D, anti-codon, and T loops). The record is from RNAcentral. Lineage: Archaea; Nanobdellati; Microcaldota. RNAcentral also lists the same sequence under 1 other name.
GCUGGGAUGGCGGAGUGGCAACGCGCCAGCCUGGAGAGCUGGUUCCCGCAAGGGUUCGUGGGUUCGAGUCCCACUCCCAGCG